Molecule: ribosomal RNA, 467 nt
Filed under: uncultured bacterium
Lineage: Bacteria
Description: partial 16S ribosomal RNA
Rfam family: Bacterial small subunit ribosomal RNA
Source: RNAcentral
GACGAACGCUGGCGGCGUGCUUAACACAUGCAAGUCGAACGGAAAGGCCCUGCUUUUGUGGGGUGCUCGAGUGGCGAACGGGUGAGUAACACGUGAGUAACCUGCCCUUGACUUUGGGAUAACUUCAGGAAACUGGGGCUAAUACCGGAUAGGAGCUCCUGCUGCAUGGUGGGGGUUGGAAAGUUUCGGCGGUUGGGGAUGGACUCGCGGCUUAUCAGCUUGUUGGUGGGGUAGUGGCUUACCAAGGCUUUGACGGGUAGCCGGCCUGAGAGGGUGACCGGCCAAAUUGGGACUGAGAUAGGGCCCAGACUCCUACGGGGGGCAGGAGGGGGGAAUAUGGAAAAAGGGGGGGAAGCCUGAGGCAGAAACGCCGGGGGGGGGAAGACGGCCUUCGGGUUGAAAACCGCUUUCGCCUGUGACGAAGCGGGGGUGACGGUAAUGGGGAAAGAAGCACCGGCUAACUACGG